Molecule: small RNA, 561 nt
Filed under: Pan troglodytes (chimpanzee)
Lineage: Eukaryota; Metazoa; Chordata; Mammalia; Primates; Hominidae
Description: processed transcript
Source: RNAcentral
ACUCUCCCGGAGAUGGUGUCUGGGGUGGCCUCUAAGCCUUGAAUGUACCCCCAAAAGAGUAAGAAGGCCUGGGUCCCCAUGAGGGGCCGUCGGCCUAGAUACCUUGCCCGCGUUCUAGGGGGCCGUCCGGGACCGGGAGAUGGAGGAAGAAAGUUUAGUUCCCCCAGCCGGGCCUGGGAGCCGGCGGAACGUUAUGGGAGCUGUAUUAUAAAGCGAUACUGUGAGAAAAGAUUCGUGUCUAAAUACCUGGCAACAAUUGGAAUUGACUAUGGAGUCACAAAGGUACACGUCAGAGACAGAGAAAUCAAAGUUAACAUCUUUGAUAUGGCUGGACAUCCCUUCUUCUAUGAGAUGAGGAAACUGAGACGCAGAGAGGUUAAGUGACUUGCCCAAGAUCACAAAACUAGUUCGAAAUGAGUUUUACAAGGACACACAGGGUGUGAUACUGGUCUAUGAUGUUGGGCAGAAAGACUCCUUUGACGCCCUUGAUGCAUGGCUGGCAGAAAUGAAGCAAGAGCUUGGACCUCAUGGAAACAUGGAAAAUAUUAUAUUUGUAGUUUG